UCAAAAUCGUUGAAAGGGAGAGUAUCCUGAAACUACCGUGUAAGAGAUGGAAUGCCUAGGCUGUAAGCUUUCCUCACGGACGCACAGGAGAAAACCACCCUUGAGUGUGGGGCUGAACUUUAGUAAGCUCUGCCGUACCCCGCGUUAAGGGAAAUCGAGUGAGAGGUGCGAUAUCAAACCUUUCAAUUGGGUGGAACCACGGGAGUAGAACUCUCGUCCCUGUC
This 224-nucleotide non-coding RNA is filed under the name Peptococcaceae bacterium. Its description in RNAcentral is "T-box sequence". It matches the Rfam family "T-box leader". Rfam says of the family: Uncharged tRNA acts as the effector for transcription antitermination of genes in the T-box leader family. Lineage: Bacteria; Bacillati; Bacillota; Clostridia; Eubacteriales; Peptococcaceae. The record is from RNAcentral.